RNAcentral lists this ribosomal RNA (520 nucleotides) under Sternotrigon setosa setosa. Its description in RNAcentral is "partial 16S ribosomal RNA". It matches the Rfam family "Bacterial large subunit ribosomal RNA", at positions 1837 to 2619 of the family's 2925-position model. The record is from RNAcentral. Lineage: Eukaryota; Metazoa; Arthropoda; Insecta; Coleoptera; Tenebrionidae.
GUUUUGAUUUAAAGUCUGGCCUGCCCAAUGAUUUUUGAAUGGCCGCAGUAUUUUGACUGUGCAAAGGUAGCAUAAUCAUUAGUUUUUUGAUUGAAAGCUGGUAUGAAAGGUUUGAUGAGAAAAUAACUGUCUCUGUAUAAUUGUUUUAGAAUUUCAAUUUUGAGUGAGAAAGCUCAAAUUUUUUAUAAAGACGAGAAGACCCUAUAGAGUUUUAUAAAUAAUUAUAUGUUGGAGUUGUGGAUAUUAUUUGUCGAUUUAUAUUUAUUUAUUUUGUUGGGGCGAUAGGAAAAUUUAUUAAACUUUUUUUUGUUUUUUACAUUUAUUUAUGAUUGUUUGAUCCUUAUUUUUGGAUUAUAAGAUCAAAUUACCUUAGGGAUAACAGCGUAAUUUUUUUUGGAGAGUUCUUAUCGAUAAAAAAGUUUGCGACCUCGAUGUUGGAUUAAAAUUAAAUUCUGGUGUAGGGGCUAGGAUUUUGGGUCUGUUCGACCUUUAAAAUUUUACGUGAUCUGAGUCAGACCGG